Molecule: ribosomal RNA, 250 nt
Filed under: uncultured bacterium
Lineage: Bacteria
Description: partial 16S ribosomal RNA
Rfam family: Bacterial small subunit ribosomal RNA
Source: RNAcentral
GACGAACGCUGGCGGCGUGCUUAACACAUGCAAGUCGAGCGGUAAGGCCCUUUCGGGGGUACACGAGCGGCGAACGGGUGAGUAACACGUGGGUGACCUGCCCUCAGCUCUGGGAUAAGCCUGGGAAACUGGGUCUAAUACUGGAUAUGACUCCACGGUGCAUGUCGUGGGGUGGAAAGCCUUGUGCGGCUGAGGAUGGGCCCGCGGCCUAUCAGCUUGUGGUGGGGUGAUGGCCUACCAAGGCGACGAC